RNAcentral lists this small RNA (149 nucleotides) under Papio anubis (olive baboon). RNAcentral's name for it is "Metazoan signal recognition particle RNA (ENSPANG00000040707.1)". The record is from Rfam by way of RNAcentral. Lineage: Eukaryota; Metazoa; Chordata; Mammalia; Primates; Cercopithecidae.
GCUGGAUGGGGUGGUGCACACUUGUAGUCCUAGCUACUCAGGAGGCUGAGGCAGGCGGAUUGCUUGAGCCCAGGAGCUCGAGGCUGCAGUGAACUAUGGAUCAUGCCACUGCACUCCAGCAUGGGCAACAGAGCUAGUGCCUGUCUCUU